UGGGGAAUAUUGGGCAAUGGGCGCAAGCCUGACCCAGCAACGCCGCGUGAAGGAAGAAGGCUUUCGGGUUGUAAACUUCUUUUAAGAGGGAAGAGUAGAAGACGGUACCUCUUGAAUAAGCCACGGCUAACUACGUGCCAGCAGCCGCGGUAAUACGUAGGUGGCAAGCGUUGUCCGGAUUUACUGGGUGUAAAGGGCGUGUAGGCGGGAUUGCAAGUCAGAUGUGAAAUUCCGGGGCUCAACCCCGGGACUGCAUUUGAAACUGUAGUUCUGGAGUAUCGGAGAGGCAGGCGGAAUUCCUAGUGUAGCGGUGAAAUGCGUAGAUAUUAGGAGGAACACCAGUGGCGAAGGCGGCCUGCUGGACGACAACUGACGCUGAGGCGCGAAAGCGUGGGGAGCAAACAGG
RNAcentral lists this ribosomal RNA (406 nucleotides) under uncultured prokaryote. RNAcentral's name for it is "bacterial SSU rRNA". It matches the Rfam family "Bacterial small subunit ribosomal RNA", at positions 355 to 776 of the family's 1533-position model. The record is from RNAcentral. RNAcentral also lists the same sequence under 1 other name.